RNAcentral lists this ribosomal RNA (478 nucleotides) under uncultured bacterium. Its description in RNAcentral is "partial 16S ribosomal RNA". It matches the Rfam family "Bacterial small subunit ribosomal RNA", at positions 28 to 507 of the family's 1533-position model. The record is from RNAcentral.
GAUUAACGCUGGCGGCGUGCCUAACACAUGCAAGUCGAACGAUGAAACUCAUUAGAUUUCUUCGGAAUGAAAAUGAAUGGAUUAGUGGCGAACGGGUGAGUAACGCGUGAGUAACCUGCCUUACACAAGGGGAUAGCCUCUGGAAACGGAGAAUAAUACCCUAUGAAACCAGACAAUCGCAUGAUAAUCUGGUCACAAUGUUUAGUGGUGUAAGAUGGACUUGCGUCUGAUUAGCUAGUUGGUGAGAUAAAAGCUCACCAAGGCAACGAUCAGUAGCCGGCUUGAGAGAGUGUACGGCCACAUUGGGACUGAGACACGGCCCAGACUCCUACGGGAGGCAGCAGUGGGGAAUUUUGCACAAUGGGGGAAACCCUGAUGCAGCGACGCCGCGUGAUUUAGAAGGCCUUCGGGUUGUAAAAAUCUUUUGUAUAGGAAGAAAAUGACAGUACUAUACGAAUAAGGUCCGGCUAAUUACGUG